UUGAACGCUGGCGGCAUGCUUUACACAUGCAAGUCGCACGGUAACAGGGUGCUUGCACCGCUGACGAGUGGCGAACGGGUGAGUAAUGCAUCGGAAUGUACCGUGUAAUGGGGGAUAGCUCGGCGAAAGCCGGAUUAAUACCGCAUACGCCCUGAGGGGGAAAGUGGGGGACCGAAAGGCCUCACGUUAUACGAGCAGCCGAUGUCUGAUUAGCUAGUUGGUGAGGUAAAGGCUCACCAAGGCGUCGAUCAGUAGCGGGUCUGAGAGGAUGAUCCGCCACACUGGGACUGAGACACGGCCCAGACUCCUACGGGAGGCAGCAGUGGGGAAUUUUGGACAAUGGGCGCAAGCCUGAUCCAGCCAUGCCGCGUGUCUGAAGAAGGCCUUCGGGUUGUAAAGGACUUUUGUCCGGGAGCAAAUCCUAGUGGUUAAUACCUACUGGGGCUGAGAGUACCGGAAGAAUAAGCACCGGCUAACUACGUG
RNAcentral lists this ribosomal RNA (483 nucleotides) under uncultured bacterium. RNAcentral describes it as "partial 16S ribosomal RNA". It matches the Rfam family "Bacterial small subunit ribosomal RNA", at positions 30 to 507 of the family's 1533-position model. The record is from RNAcentral.